UACGAAGGGUGCAAGCGUUACUCGGAAUUACUGGGCGUAAAGCGUGCGUAGGUGGUUUGUUAAGUCUGUUGUGAAAGCCCCGGGCUCAACCUGGGAAUGGCAAUGGAUACUGGCAGGCUAGAGUGCGGUAGAGGGUAGUGGAAUUCCCGGUGUAGCGGUGAAAUGCGUAGAGAUCGGGAGGAACACCAGUGGCGAAGGCGGCUACCUGGACCAGCACUGACACUGAAGCACGAAAGCGUGGGGAGCAAACAGG
RNAcentral lists this ribosomal RNA (253 nucleotides) under uncultured bacterium. RNAcentral describes it as "partial 16S ribosomal RNA". It matches the Rfam family "Bacterial small subunit ribosomal RNA", at positions 524 to 776 of the family's 1533-position model. The record is from RNAcentral.